UGGGGAAUAUUGGACAAUGGGGGCAACCCUGAUCCAGCAAUGCCGCGUGUGUGAAGAAGGCCUGCGGGUUGUAAAGCACUUUCAGUAGAGAAGAAAAGCUCAUGGUUAAUACCCGUGAGUCUUGACGUAACCUACAGAAGAAGCACCGGCUAACUCCGUGCCAGCAGCCGCGGUAAUACGGAGGGUGCGAGCGUUAAUCGGAAUUACUGGGCGUAAAGCGCGCGUAGGUGGUUCUGUAAGUCGGAUGUGAAAGCCCAGGGCUUAACCUUGGAACUGCAUUCGAUACUGCAGAACUAGAGUAUGGUAGAGGGAAGUGGAAUUUCCGGUGUAGCGGUGAAAUGCGUAGAUAUCGGAAGGAACACCAGUGGCGAAGGCGACUUCCUGGGCCAAUACUGACACUGAGGUGCGAAAGCGUGGGGAGCAAACAGGAUUAGAUACCCCCGUAGUCC
This 449-nucleotide ribosomal RNA is filed under the name uncultured prokaryote. Its description in RNAcentral is "bacterial SSU rRNA". It matches the Rfam family "Bacterial small subunit ribosomal RNA", at positions 355 to 796 of the family's 1533-position model. The record is from RNAcentral.